This 71-nucleotide transfer RNA is filed under the name Marmota monax (woodchuck). RNAcentral describes it as "tRNA.Ala". The record is from RNAcentral. Lineage: Eukaryota; Metazoa; Chordata; Mammalia; Rodentia; Sciuridae.
GAGGUUGCAGCUCAGCGGUAGAGCACUUGCCUAGCAUGUGUGAAGCACUGGGUUCAAUUCUCAGCACCACA